This 75-nucleotide transfer RNA is filed under the name Stegodyphus mimosarum. It matches the Rfam family "tRNA". From Rfam's summary of the family: Transfer RNA (tRNA) molecules are approximately 80 nucleotides in length. Their secondary structure includes four short double-helical elements and three loops (D, anti-codon, and T loops). Further hydrogen bonds mediate the characteristic L-shaped molecular structure. tRNAs have two regions of fundamental functional importance: the anti-codon, which is responsible for specific mRNA codon recognition, and the 3' end, to which the tRNAs corresponding amino acid is attached (by aminoacyl-tRNA synthetases). tRNAs cope with the degeneracy of the genetic code in two manners: having more than one tRNA (with a specific anti-codon) for a particular amino acid; and 'wobble' base-pairing, i.e. permitting non-standard base-pairing at the 3rd anti-codon position. Lineage: Eukaryota; Metazoa; Arthropoda; Arachnida; Araneae; Eresidae. The record is from Rfam by way of RNAcentral.
GCCUUCGUGGUGUAAUUGGAAGAGCAUACUCGACUCCUAUUCGAGAGGUCCGGAGUUCGAAUCCUGGAGAUCGCA